RNAcentral lists this ribosomal RNA (471 nucleotides) under uncultured Nitrosospira sp. RNAcentral's name for it is "bacterial SSU rRNA". It matches the Rfam family "Bacterial small subunit ribosomal RNA", at positions 192 to 644 of the family's 1533-position model. Lineage: Bacteria; Pseudomonadati; Pseudomonadota; Betaproteobacteria; Nitrosomonadales; Nitrosomonadaceae. The record is from RNAcentral.
ACGGGGGGAGGAAAGUAGGGGAUCGCAAGACCUCGCGCUAUUGGAGUGGCCGAUGUCCGAUUAGCUAGUUGGUGGGGUAAUGGCCUACCAAGGCGACGAUCGGUAGCUGGUCUGAGAGGAUGAUCAGCCACACUGGGACUGAGACACGGCCCAGACUCCUACGGGAGGCAGCAGUGGGGAAUUUUGGACAAUGGGCGCAAGCCUGAUCCAGCCAUGCCGCGUGAGUGAAGAAGGCCUUCGGGUUGUAAAGCUCUUUCGGCCGGAACGAAAUCGUCCGGGCUAAUACCCCGGAUGGAUGACGGUACCGGAAGAAGAAGCACCGGCUAACUACGUGCCAGCAGCCGCGGUAAUACGUAGGGUGCAGGCGUUAAUCGGAAUUACUGGGCGUAAAGCGUGCGCAGGCGGCUUCCUAAGUCAGAUGUGAAAUCCCCGGGCUCAACCUGGGAACUGCGUUUGAAACUACAAAGCUAG